GCCCGCGUAGCUCAGUGGAUAGAGCAUUUGCUUGCGGAGCAAAGGGCCGCGCGUUCGAGUCGCGCCGCGGGCGCCU
This 76-nucleotide transfer RNA is filed under the name Chloroflexota bacterium. RNAcentral describes it as "Chloroflexi bacterium (sediment metagenome) tRNA-Arg". It matches the Rfam family "tRNA". Rfam says of the family: Transfer RNA (tRNA) molecules are approximately 80 nucleotides in length. Their secondary structure includes four short double-helical elements and three loops (D, anti-codon, and T loops). Further hydrogen bonds mediate the characteristic L-shaped molecular structure. tRNAs have two regions of fundamental functional importance: the anti-codon, which is responsible for specific mRNA codon recognition, and the 3' end, to which the tRNAs corresponding amino acid is attached (by aminoacyl-tRNA synthetases). tRNAs cope with the degeneracy of the genetic code in two manners: having more than one tRNA (with a specific anti-codon) for a particular amino acid; and 'wobble' base-pairing, i.e. permitting non-standard base-pairing at the 3rd anti-codon position. The record is from RNAcentral. Lineage: Bacteria; Bacillati; Chloroflexota.